CCUACGGGUGGCAGCAGUGAGGAAUAUUGGUCAAUGGGCGCGAGCCUGAACCAGCCAAGUCGCGUGAGGGAGGACGGCCCUACGGGUUGUAAACCUCUUUUGCCGGGGAGCAACGGGCGCCACGUGUGGCGUCGCUGAGAGUACCCGGAGAAAAAGCAUCGGCUAACUCCGUGCCAGCAGCCGCGGUAAUACGGAGGAUGCGAGCGUUAUCCGGAUUUAUUGGGUUUAAAGGGAGCGUAGAUGGGUUGUUAAGUCAGGUGUGAAAGUUUGCGGCUCAACCGUAAAAUUACAAUUGAUACUGGCAGUCUGGAGUAAAGUUGAGGUAGGCGGAAUUCGUGGUGGAGCGGUGAAAUGCUUAGAUGUCACGAAGAACUCCGAUUGCGAAGGCAGCUUACUAAACUGCCACUGACAUUGAUGCUCGAAAGUGUGGGUAUCAAACAGGAUUAGAUACGCGAGUAGUC
This 461-nucleotide ribosomal RNA is filed under the name uncultured bacterium. Its description in RNAcentral is "partial 16S ribosomal RNA". It matches the Rfam family "Bacterial small subunit ribosomal RNA", at positions 338 to 795 of the family's 1533-position model. The record is from RNAcentral.